CUGCUCUCCCAUCGGUGAGGAUGUGGAUUAUGAAGUCUUGUUUCCCUUCUGUUGUUGCAGGACGCCUUGGGUGAUUCAGAAAUGAGCAGUGGGAGCGCUCGGUGAUUUUCAGAGGAGGAAGACAGCAGCCAGCAAGGCCCCAGCUCCCUGCCAUCUUGAGCCCUUCCUGGUGAUUUGCAGCAGCACAGAUAAUCAGAUUUGCCCUUCGUCUUUAGUUGUUUCAUAAUCCUGCAGCUCUCCAUUUCAUCUUUACAAGACUAGAAUCUCUAUUUUCCUGUGAACAGGGAAAAAAACCCACCACCAUAAAAGGCAGUUCUUUUAUAUUCCAAUCUCUAUUUCCUUGUUUAAAUAAACUUAGGGCACAAAAGCUCA
This is a non-coding RNA of Meleagris gallopavo (turkey), 372 nucleotides long. NCBI's taxonomy places the organism in Eukaryota, Metazoa, Chordata, Aves, Galliformes, Phasianidae. The record is from RefSeq and is a predicted model, not a curated record.